Small nuclear RNA from Gasterosteus aculeatus aculeatus (three-spined stickleback), 120 nucleotides. Its record names the gene U1. It matches the Rfam family "U1 spliceosomal RNA". From Rfam's summary of the family: U1 is a small nuclear RNA (snRNA) component of the spliceosome (involved in pre-mRNA splicing). Its 5' end forms complementary base pairs with the 5' splice junction, thus defining the 5' donor site of an intron. Lineage: Eukaryota; Metazoa; Chordata; Actinopteri; Perciformes; Gasterosteidae. The record is from Ensembl.
AUACUUACCUGGCAGGGGAGAUACCAUGAUCAAGAAGGUGGUUCACCCAGGGCGAGGCUCAGUCAUGCACUGCGACUGUACUGACCACUGCGAUUCCUCAAAUGUGGGAAUCUCGACUGC